UUAAUAGAGGCCACCUUGGACAGGCAAGGUCAAUGAUGGAACCGUACUUGCAUGAGAGUGGGGCUGGUGGUGCCGGGAGUGCAUAAUCAGAAGAAUCUGGAGGUGGUUCGUAAGCUGGGAAAGCACUGAGAAAAGAAGAACAAGAAAAUACCAAGGUUCUCCUCAUUAAUGCAAUCUCGCUUGCACAUGCCAGUUGCGACAAUUGGAAAACAAGAUGGUUGACAACCAUAAAGACAUGAGCAAUGUUACAAUUCGGAAUCGUGGCUGCUGGAGAAAGAGAUGUGAUCAUAAGACAUUCUCAUCAUGACUCAGACUUUAUAAUAUAACUGUUCCUAUUUUGAUUUUUGUUUGUAAAUGUAGGCAUGCCCAAGACUGAAGCCCUCUAAAAACUAUAUAGCUAUUUUUUGGUUUACCAUUUUUACUUUGGGCACCCAUUGCAUACUUCCGAUAUAUUUGGAUUGUGACCCCCUUUUUGUUAGGUGCUUUUAGAUUAAUUUACCACUGACUAUAAAAAAUGCAUUGGUAUAUGAAAUUUUCGUUGAGCUAAAGAGGUUACUCCAUGACCUUUUUGCAGGUGCGUAGUUCUAAGAGAGCCAUGAAAUAUGAGAAACUAUUGGUUAGGUUGAAGAAAUUGAUUUCUAUUCUGCCUACUAUUUGGCCAAGCUAAUUCUGCUAUAUGAGAGUAUCUCUUGGAUUCUUUGAAGAUGUCUACAGACUGGUCCAUCUUAUGCCAAAUCCAUCCCACUGUGAGCCUAUUAUAUGCUUCUCUUGACAGUUCUAAAAUCGUCUUAUACAACUCUAAUGUUAAUGGAUUUGCUUUAGUCCUAGAAGUAGUAGUUGGUUAACUAGUGAAACUUGCACAUGCUAUGCUUAAAAACAUCUUUUUGAAGUUUUGUUUGAUAUUCCAUCACUUGUGGCUCAGUUUUGAUGUCUCAUCCUCACUUCAAAGGCAAACAGUGAUUGCAACCUUGUAUGCUAGGACUAAAAUUUUGUUUCAUUUCAUUUAGCUUGUCCCCAAUAAUAAACUCGGUCGAGCAGAACAUAGAAAGCCAGUUGAAGGCAAGGCACCCAGAAUUGGUUGAAUGGUUUAGAAUGGUGGAACUGCCACGUAUAGCGGGAUUUUUCAUUCCAUUGUUGAAGAAGCGGUCUAUGGAAUAUGCUGGAAGUGGUGUUGCAGGGAGUAUUCUGGCUAUAAGCUGCUGUGGUGGUAGCCUUUUCAUUUACCCCAAGUUUUCUUCACGCUCUGUGUAUCAACGUUUCAUGGAGGAAAUAGCAGGAGAUGAUCUUCAAAUAGAAGCAUUGCCAGUUGGAUCUAUUGCUUCCGACUCUGCCGUAACUGCACUGUUAUACUGGCAAGGAAAGCUUUUUGUUGGCUGUGUUGAUAGAAUUAUCAAGGUGUAUUCUGGGCAGUGAUGGAAGCAUCACUUAAGAAGAUGUCAACCAAACUCAAUACGUUGGCGAAGCUGCCAAGGGUGAUGGGUCCAUUGCUGAGAUGAAAACGGGGGAAGGAAAAACCUUGGUUUCCACAUUAGCAGCCUCUCUCAAUGCCCUCACUGGUGAGGGUGUUCAUGGAUGAUAUGCCAAAGCCUGGUCAAGCCCCUCGUCCUGCUGGAGGAACUCCUGUUCGCACCUGAUAAAAAGAAGUUGAUUUCCUCUGUCAUUCUGCUUUCAAACAGUUACCUGAAAUUUUCAGAACUUUUGAGGCCAUUUGUUUUUGUUUUUCUUGGUUUGGGAGAUUUUGAUUAUGAUGGAAGGUUUAACUUUUGCUGUUUAAUGCUUGAGUAUUAAUGUAGUAUCAGGAAAAUGAAAAUUGAGACACGAGAAUGAAUUUCAUUUUUUUUAA
Long non-coding RNA from Vitis vinifera (wine grape), 1843 nucleotides. RefSeq lists it as uncharacterized. Lineage: Eukaryota; Viridiplantae; Streptophyta; Magnoliopsida; Vitales; Vitaceae. The transcript is spliced from 8 exons. The record is from RefSeq and is a predicted model, not a curated record.